AUGGCAGAAUAGUGCAUUGGACUUAAACCCCAAUUAUAAAAGAAUUUCUUUUUUUUAGAA
RNAcentral lists this transfer RNA (60 nucleotides) under Endomychus coccineus. RNAcentral's name for it is "tRNA-Leu". The record is from RNAcentral. Lineage: Eukaryota; Metazoa; Arthropoda; Insecta; Coleoptera; Endomychidae.